This 448-nucleotide ribosomal RNA is filed under the name uncultured bacterium. RNAcentral describes it as "bacterial SSU rRNA". It matches the Rfam family "Bacterial small subunit ribosomal RNA", at positions 64 to 507 of the family's 1533-position model. The record is from RNAcentral.
GAACGGUAACAGGCCCGCAAGGGUGCUGACGAGUGGCGGACGGGUGAGGAAUACAUCGGAAUCUGCCCGGUUGUGGGGGAUAACGUAGGGAAACUUACGCUAAUACCGCAUACGACCGAGAGGUGAAAGCGGGGGAUCGCAAGACCUCGCGCGAUCGGAUGAGCCGAUGUCGGAUUAGCUAGUUGGCGGGGUAAAGGCCCACCAAGGCGACGAUCCGUAGCUGGUCUGAGAGGAUGAUCAGCCACACUGGGACUGAGACACGGCCCAGACUCCUACGGGAGGCAGCAGUGGGGAAUAUUGGACAAUGGGGGCAACCCUGAUCCAGCAAUGCCGCGUGUGUGAAGAAGGCCUUCGGGUUGUAAAGCACUUUUAUCCGGAACGAAACGCACUGGGUGAAUAUCCCGGUGAACUGACGGUACCGGAGGAAUAAGCACCGGCUAACUUCGUG